Meleagris gallopavo (turkey) is the source of this 997-nucleotide non-coding RNA. The record is from RefSeq and is a predicted model, not a curated record. Lineage: Eukaryota; Metazoa; Chordata; Aves; Galliformes; Phasianidae.
GGCGAUUAUGAAUGGGCGGCGCUUGUCUUUUGGGGGCGUGGUUUGCAGAAGGGCCUGGUGCUGUAAAGGGGCGUGGCCUGGGUUUGGGGCGUGGUUUGUUGGGGUUCUCGUGGGGGCGGGGCUUCCAUUAGUUGGUGUGGUUUGUAUGAGGCCUUGUGGCAUGGAGGGGGCGGGGCUUGGGCGCGGGGCUUAUAGAAUGACGUGGUGGUGAGGGGCAAGGCUUGGUUUUAGAGGUGCGGCCUCGAGAAAUGGGCGGUGUUGGAAUGCGGCUGAGAGGGGCGGGGCUUGUGGGAGGGGUCGUGGUCUGUAGGAGGGCCUGGCAGUCGAGGAGGGCAUGGCUUGGAUUUAGGUAGUGUAGCUGUGAGGAGGGGUUCGAAGCGUGCACGGAAAGGGUUAAAAGGAGUGGGCGUGGCUUCGGUAGGGCGAACCGCGCAUGCGCCAGGCCGCGCUAUGGGCGGAGCCUCCGCUGCUAUAAAAGCCGCUGCAGCGAAGCUCGGCGCCAUUCGUCGCUGAGGUAAGUAUGGGUGUGGUUGGGGCUUGUGCUUCCAUGCGCGGGGCCGUCGCGGUGAUGAUCGCUCAGACUAGAGUCUCCGACCGCUCUGAGGACACCGCAGCGCCUGAGCGACGGCCCCGCUCCGCCCUCCGCCCCGCUCCGCCCUCACUGCUCUCUCUUUGCAGGCUUCCAACGCCAGGUCGCUCCCAUAGCGGUAAGAGCCGUCCUUCCUGCCCCCGCGGUCCUUCCUGCCCCCGCGGUCCUUCCUGCCCCCGCGGCCGUGAGGAGCCCCGCACGAGGCCGAGCCGCCGUGACGAGCCCGCAGCGCACUGAGCCCGCGGAGCCCGCGCCGCCAGGCCGCUCCGUGCUGCGCCGUGCCCGCUCAGUGCUUUUUAUUCUCCAGGAUCGGCGAACUGGAAGACUUUGGGGACGGAAAGGCGAUUUUUGGGGCUGCGCUGAGGUAAAGCUGCGGUUUGUGGGUAAUAAAAGCGGUUUUAAGUCCGA